UGGGGAAUAUUGCACAAUGGGCGCAAGCCUGAUGCAGCCAUGCCGCGUGUAUGAAGAAGGCCUUCGGGUUGUAAAGUACUUUCAGUCGGGAGGAAGGUGUCAAGGUUAAUAACCUUGGCAAUUGACGUUACCGACAGAAGAAGCACCGGCUAACUCCGUGCCAGCAGCCGCGGUAAUACGGAGGGUGCAAGCGUUAAUCGGAAUUACUGGGCGUAAAGCGCACGCAGGCGGUUGAUUGAGUCAGAUGUGAAAUCCCCGGGCUUAACCCGGGAAUUGCAUCUGAUACUGGUCAGCUAGAGUCUUGUAGAGGGGGGUAGAAUUCCAUGUGUAGCGGUGAAAUGCGUAGAGAUGUGGAGGAAUACCGGUGGCGAAGGCGGCCCCUGGACAAAGACUGACGCUCAGGUGCGAAAGCGUGGGGAGCAAACAGG
RNAcentral lists this ribosomal RNA (428 nucleotides) under Chloroflexota bacterium. RNAcentral describes it as "Chloroflexi bacterium partial 16S ribosomal RNA". It matches the Rfam family "Bacterial small subunit ribosomal RNA", at positions 355 to 776 of the family's 1533-position model. Lineage: Bacteria; Bacillati; Chloroflexota. The record is from RNAcentral.